CUUUUUUUUAAUCAUUGUAUGUGUAACCAGCCUCCACAAUCCCUUCAAGAAACAAGUGUUUUAGUCGUUGAACAAAAAAGGUGAGAUAAACCUAAAGACUGCACCGAAGGAGUGUGAGGAUUUGAUACAUGAUAUCGUCGGUGGAGCAAGUUCAGGAAGAUCCUAAUGUCAUUGAUAACUGAAGAAGAACAGAAUUCGGCUGGCCGCCUUGUUCAUGCCUUGAGCGCAAGAAGCGUGAAGAAGGAAAAAACGAGUUGCUCCAAACCGGCCCGAGCCCGGGGAGCGCUCCGCUCCAGUCGAUGAGACGAGGUGGAAACUCAAUUCAGUUUUGGUUCCCCCAGUCCAGAUCCCAUCGGAGUGGGAAGACCUGGAAAUCCAGUUGCAAGCCAAGGAAACGGUAAUCUCUGAUCUGGAGAGGAAGCCCAGAGACGUUUUCCAACAGAAACAAAAGACUGUAACCCAGGUGCUGGAGGGCAGUAGGAGGCUCUCGUGUCUGCAGCGGAUCCAGAAAGGCGACAUGAAGGAGAUCGCUGAGAAAGACACUUGCAUCACCAAACUGCAGGCCGACACUGAGCUGCUGCAGCAAGAGGGGGGCCGACGCAGACGCUCAGCUGAAUGGGAGAGAGCGAGGGAGCUUCAGCAGGAGCCGAGGCGAAAAAGAUGAGGAAUGGAGGCAAAGCGAAGACGAAAGGAGGCAGAAAUGUGAAAAGCAGUGUCAGGAGGCAGACGAGGCGGCUGAGAAAAGUGGAGGAGGUGAAGAAGAGGGAGGAACAACAACGGCGGGAGGGGAUUGAGGAGGAGAGAGAGGCCCAUACUCGAAUCUAUAAAAAGGGGACUGAGAAGUCUGAGGUUAUACAAGCGGAUUGGCCGUUGCUCUGCACCCAACAAAUGCCACAAACGGCUCGUCUUCUACUCUGCAGGAACCGUCUAGAGAUUGCUCCGUUGCUAACAGGUCCAAUCUCCUCACAGCCCAGCAGCGCGUUGGGUGAUUUGCCGGUCAGAGUCUCACCAGAAGGAGGAGAUUCUUCUCUCUGAGGUUUGGAAAACACAAGCAAAAGAAGAAAAAGAAAAAGAUGAAAGCGCGAGAUGAGCAUGGGAGCCACCUGGACCAGGAUGUGGUUGGUUUGCGAGCCACACGGGACUCUGUGACGGGAACCUUGGCAAUGACGGAGAAACAAAAGCAACAGCUGGUCAUUGACAAUGCACGGCUCAAUGAAAGCAGAGCAAACUGCAAACCACCGAGUGCUUGUGGAACGACACCCGUGAAACAACACCGGCCCCGGACACGGAAAGAGCAGCAGAGAGUGCAGAUCCAAGACCAGUUGCACCGCUCCAACAAAGAGAAGGAGCACGUGCAGCAGGAGCUGAUACACGUGCGUCACACACCACUGAAAAGAAGAAGAGGGAGAUUAGGACGUGCGCGCUGGUGAGGGAGCUCACCGAGAGUAAGAUGCGGCACUCUGAAUGUCAAAAUGAGCGUUUGGAUCUUAGGCCUUGGGGGGACCUGAGCGGGGAGAGGGACGAGCAGGGGGCCCAGACGGGGGGCCGGAGCAGAGAGUCUGACCACGGCAUCCAGAACGAAGAGACACCGGAGGCUGAGAAGGUCCAUGACAACAGGACCUUACACCUGCAGGAGGAGGUGGGACCAUUGAAACACGAGGUCGGAGGUCACCAGGAUGAGUCGUGUCCGCUCAGCCAAGAGGCCGGAGGGAUGCAGCGCCUCAUGGAGCAGAAAGAGAAGCAGCAACAGCGGCGGCUACGCCAUCAGCUCCGCGUUGGUCGGCAACAGGUCGAGACAUUUGGAGGGAAGCUAAAGAAGCAGGAGGUUGAGAUGGAAAUUCUCCGUGAGCAGCUGAAAGGAGCCGAGGAGGUGAUAAGAGACGCAGGUUUACGAGCCCGGGAGCAGAAGGAAACCAUAGCCAUUUUUAGACAAAAGUACAACGCAGCCAUGGAGAAGGUGCAUCGGGUGCAAGGACAGGUGGAGCUAUUGAAAGAGGAACUACAGUACUCACAGCAACAGCUUCGAGAUUCCCAAUUGGCCGCGCAUUCAGCGAAAGAGGAGCUCGCUGGGAUGGAGCAGCGGUAUCUGGAGAAGGUCGGCCACUGGGAGAACGCCCAGGAGGCUUUAGACCAGUUGGCGGAUGAACUCCUGGCGAGCCGGACCCUCCUGAGGGAGAGUCAACAAAGAGCUGACCACCUUAAAGGCUUAGUGGAAACCAUGCGGGAGCAGGUGGACACGAUCAAACAGCAGAAGCUGAUGUUGGAGUGCGACCGACAGCUGCACCAACAGAGUCGUUGUGAUGAGCAGUGGCACAGAGAGCAGCUACACAAGCGCUGCACCGAGCAGGUUGUGCGCCUUGCCGAGUGUGAAAAGGCGAUUCUUCAGAUGAAGUCGGAGCUGGAGAGACAGGUCCGGCGAGAAGCAGAUCGGAGGCAAAGUUCCGUUGCUUCCCGCCGUGCAAACAUGAGCGAUCGCAUCCAACUGGAACAGGAAGUGAUACAUCUGAAAAAGGAAGUGGCAGCCGUAAGGCGUGAGCCGGCGGACACCCAAAAGGUUCAUAUGGCACUUGGCCGACAGUCAGAGGAGCAGCUGAAGGAGGUCAGGAGAGCGGCGGCGAGGCGGAGCGGCGAUGGGUUCGCGCACAGAGAGGAGGUGCAGAGACUUCAGGAGGACUUACUGAAGGCGGAGGAGAGAAUGAGGAGGCAGUUGAGUCGAGAGCUGGAGGAGCCGCGCAGCGAGCCGCAAGUGACAGCGGAGGAGUUGGCAACCCGUGCAGAGGAGGCGAGGCGGAUGCAGGGGCGGCUGAAUGAGGGAAAGCUAGCGGAGGAGAAAAUAAGGUCACGGGACGGGGGGCCGGAGACAGAAGUGGCGGCGCUCCGGAGGAAUCUUCAGCAUGCUGUCGAUCACAAACUCCAGGCGGAGCGGGAGAAACGGGAAGCCCGGGAACAGGUGGACACACUGCUGGCGGAGCUGGAGGAGACGCGGUCUGAGAAGGCAAACCUGCGCCAUGAGAGCCAGUUGGUCGUGACUAAUGUCAACUGUUGGAUUGCUAAACAAAAAGCUUCCAACGAGAGCCUCAGUGGCCGGACGGAGGCCCAGAACAAGGUGCUGCUCAUCCUCACUGAAGAGAAAGCGCACCUUCAAGGUUCUAAUGACGCGUUGAAAGCGGAGGUAACGCGACUAAAAGAGGUGGGGGACGAGAAGACGAGAGACACGGAGCGCUUCCAGGCCUGGACCCGGGCGUCCCGCAAGACAGGAGAGCCAUGGAAAAGCAGAGCUGUGCGGCUGUGGCUCUAAACCUCAGCAAAAUCCAGGACAUGCAGACUAGACUUCGAAGCAACCUGGAGGCCAUCAGAAUGCUAAAUCAACAAUUGAACUCUCUCAGCGGGGAGAAUAAGCGGUUGCGCAGGCAGCUGGAGGACGAGCGGUCCGUGCGCAGACUGCUGCCUCCUCUUCCUCCUCCUCCACCUUCCAGCAGAGCUCCAUCGUCCACCUCCCCCUGUCCCCCGGUGCUCACCCGGCUCUCCUCUCUGCGCCCGCCUUGUUCUCGUCCCACCGCCCCCCCCCCC
Gasterosteus aculeatus aculeatus (three-spined stickleback) is the source of this 3570-nucleotide long non-coding RNA. Lineage: Eukaryota; Metazoa; Chordata; Actinopteri; Perciformes; Gasterosteidae. The record is from Ensembl.